GUGGAGUUUGGCUUGUGUAUGUAAAUGUGUGAGAGAAAUCAAAAUUUCAUUUACAAAUAUAAUGAUCCACUACCAUAGCCAGGUGAAAUUUCUAGAAAGGAGUACACAACGGCCUUUGAACUUUCUGUUUAGGUUCGAAUAUUGGGGAUUAACCUGAUAAUGGCGGCGCUUUGACCACACUCGAUCACAGAUCGCUUGAAAUGGCGACGGGAACACCACCAGUACAUCGAACAAGAAGCAUAUGGGAUUCACUAUCCCCAGAAGAAUUCGAGCAGCUGCAAGCAUACACAAAAUGUAAGGCAUUUUCAUUUUGUUUCGUGUCGA
Molecule: non-coding RNA, 324 nt
Organism: Paramuricea clavata
Lineage: Eukaryota; Metazoa; Cnidaria; Anthozoa; Malacalcyonacea; Plexauridae
Source: the annotation of a GenBank genome assembly